RNAcentral lists this ribosomal RNA (251 nucleotides) under uncultured prokaryote. RNAcentral's name for it is "partial 16S rRNA". It matches the Rfam family "Bacterial small subunit ribosomal RNA", at positions 525 to 775 of the family's 1533-position model. The record is from RNAcentral.
ACGGAGGGUGCAAGCGUUGUUCGGAUUUAUUGGGCGUAAAGCGCGUGUAGGCGGUUUGUUAAGUCUGAUGUGAAAGCCCUGGGCUCAACCUGGGAAGUGCAUUGGAAACUGGCAGACUUGGAUACGGGAGAGGGUAGUGGAAUUCCUAGUGUGGGAGUGAAAUCCGUAGUUAUUAGGAGGAGCACCGAUGGCGUGGGCGGAUACCUGGAUCAAUAUCGACGCUGAGUCGGCAAAGCGUCGCGAGCACAAAG